GCAGUGGUGGUUCAGUGGCAGAAUUCUUGCCUUCUAUGUGGAGGACACUGGUUCGAUUCCUGGCCAGUGCA
RNAcentral lists this transfer RNA (71 nucleotides) under Loxodonta africana (African savanna elephant). It matches the Rfam family "tRNA". From Rfam's summary of the family: Transfer RNA (tRNA) molecules are approximately 80 nucleotides in length. Their secondary structure includes four short double-helical elements and three loops (D, anti-codon, and T loops). Further hydrogen bonds mediate the characteristic L-shaped molecular structure. tRNAs have two regions of fundamental functional importance: the anti-codon, which is responsible for specific mRNA codon recognition, and the 3' end, to which the tRNAs corresponding amino acid is attached (by aminoacyl-tRNA synthetases). tRNAs cope with the degeneracy of the genetic code in two manners: having more than one tRNA (with a specific anti-codon) for a particular amino acid; and 'wobble' base-pairing, i.e. permitting non-standard base-pairing at the 3rd anti-codon position. Lineage: Eukaryota; Metazoa; Chordata; Mammalia; Proboscidea; Elephantidae. The record is from Rfam by way of RNAcentral.